UUUAAAGUCUAACCUGCCCAAUGAGGAUUUGAAUGGCCGCGGUAUUUUGACCGUGCAAAGGUAGCAUAAUCAUUAGUUUUUUAAUUGAAAGCUGGAAUGAAUGGUUGGACGAGAAAAUUACUGUCUCAUUUUAAUUUUUAUUAGAACUUUAUUUUUAAGUAAGAAAGCUUAAAUUUUUUUAAAAGACGAGAAGACCCUAUAGAGUUUAAUAUUUUUUAUUAUUAAAAUUUUUUAGAUUAAUCAUGGUUUUUAUAGUAAGAAAUAUUUUGUUGGGGUGACAGAAAAAUUUAGUUAACUUUUUUUAAAAUAUUUACAUAGAUUUAUGGUUAAUUGAUCCGUUAUUUACGAUUAUAAGAUUAAAUUACCUUAGGGAUAACAGCGUAAUUUUUUUUGAGAGUUCUAAUCGAAAAAAAAGUUUGCGACCUCGAUGUUGGAUUAAAAU
Molecule: ribosomal RNA, 442 nt
Filed under: Osmoderma sp. BMNH 694766
Lineage: Eukaryota; Metazoa; Arthropoda; Insecta; Coleoptera; Scarabaeidae
Description: partial 16S ribosomal RNA
Rfam family: Bacterial large subunit ribosomal RNA
Source: RNAcentral